UACGUAGGGGGCAAGCGUUAUCCGGAUUUAUUGGGUUUAAAGGGUGCGUAGGCGGGACCUUAAGUCAGCGGUAAAAUUGCGGUGCUCAACGCCGUAGAGCCGUUGAAACUGGCGUUCUUGAGUGGGCGAGAAGUACGCGGAAUGCGUGGUGUAGCGGUGAAAUGCAUAGAUAUCACGCAGAACUCCGAUUGCGAAGGCAGCAUACCGGCGCGCAACUGACGCUCAUGCACGAAAGCGUGGGUAUCGAACAGG
RNAcentral lists this ribosomal RNA (252 nucleotides) under uncultured Bacteroidales bacterium. Its description in RNAcentral is "partial 16S ribosomal RNA". It matches the Rfam family "Bacterial small subunit ribosomal RNA", at positions 524 to 776 of the family's 1533-position model. Lineage: Bacteria; Pseudomonadati; Bacteroidota; Bacteroidia; Bacteroidales. The record is from RNAcentral.